UGGGGAAUAUUGCACAAUGGGCGCAAGCCUGAUGCAGACAUGCCGCGUGUGUGAAGAAGGCCUUCGGGUUGUAAAGCACUUUCAGCGGGGAGGAAGGCGAUAAGGUUAAUAACCUUGUCGAUUGACGUUACCCGCAGAAGAAGCACCGGCUAACUCCGUGCCAGCAGCCGCGGUAAUACGGAGGGUGCAAGCGAUAAUCGGAAUUACUGGGCGUAAAGCGCACGCAGGCGGUUUGCUAAGUCAGAUGUGAAAUCCCCGUGCUCAACCUGUGAACUGCAUCUGAUACUGGCAAGCUUGAGUCUCGUAGAGGGGGGUAGAAUUCCAGGUGUAGCGGUGAAAUGCGUAGAGAUCUGGAGGAAUACCGGUGGCGAAGGCGGCCCCCUGGACGAAGACUGACGCUCAGGUGCGAAAGCGUGGGGAGCAAACAGG
This 429-nucleotide ribosomal RNA is filed under the name Chloroflexota bacterium. RNAcentral's name for it is "Chloroflexi bacterium partial 16S ribosomal RNA". It matches the Rfam family "Bacterial small subunit ribosomal RNA", at positions 355 to 776 of the family's 1533-position model. Lineage: Bacteria; Bacillati; Chloroflexota. The record is from RNAcentral.